GAGUACGGCCGCAAGGCUGAAACUUAAAGGAAUUGGCGGGGGAGCACUACAACGGGUGGAGCCUGCGGUUUAAUUGGACUCAACGCCGGAAAACUCACCGGGGGCGACAGCAAUAUGUAGGUCAGGUUAAAGGUCUUACCUGAAUCGCUGAGAGGAGGUGCAUGGCCGUCGUCAGUUCGUACUGUGAAGCAUCCUGUUAAGUCGGGCAACGAGCAAGACCCGUGCCCACUGUUACCAGCAUAUCCUUUAUGGAUGAUGGGGACUUUGUGGGGACCGCUGCUGCUAAAGCAGAGGAAGGUGCGGGCUACGGUAGGUCAGUAUGCCCCGAAUCUCCCGGGCUACACGCGGGCUACAAUGGUUGGGACAAUGGGUAUCUACUCCGAAAGGAGUUGGCAAUCUCUUAAACCCAAUCGUAGUUCGAAUUGAGGGCUGUAACUCGCCCUCAUGAAGCUGGAAUCCGUAGUAAUCGCGUUUCAACAUAGCGCGGUGAAUCUGUCCCUGCUCCUUGCACACACCGCCCGUCAAACCAUCCGAGUGAGGUAUGGGUGAGGGCACGAACUUAGUGUCGUGCUCGAACCUAAAUUUCGCAAGGAGGGUUAAGUCGUAACAAGGUAGCCGUAGGGGAAUCUGCGGCUGGAUCACCUCCU
Molecule: ribosomal RNA, 647 nt
Filed under: uncultured archaeon
Lineage: Archaea
Description: bacterial SSU rRNA
Rfam family: Archaeal small subunit ribosomal RNA
Source: RNAcentral